Molecule: ribosomal RNA, 372 nt
Filed under: uncultured bacterium
Lineage: Bacteria
Description: bacterial SSU rRNA
Rfam family: Bacterial small subunit ribosomal RNA
Source: RNAcentral
GUAGGGUGCGAGCGUUGUCCGGAUUUAUUGGGCGUAAAGGGCUCGUAGGUGGUUGAUCGCGUCGGAAGUGUAAUCUUGGGGCUUAACCCUGAGCGUGCUUUCGAUACGGGUUGACUUGAGGAAGGUAGGGGAGAAUGGAAUUCCUGGUGGAGCGGUGGAAUGCGCAGAUAUCAGGAGGAACACCAGUGGCGAAGGCGGUUCUCUGGGCCUUUCCUGACGCUGAGGAGCGAAAGCGUGGGGAGCGAACAGGCUUAGAUACCCUGGUAGUCCACGCUGUAAACGGUGGGUACUAGGUGUGGGGUCCAUUCCACGGGUUCCGCGCCGUAGCUAACGCUUUAAGUACCCCGCCUGGGGAGUACGGCCGCAAGGCUA